RNAcentral lists this ribosomal RNA (607 nucleotides) under Klebsiella pneumoniae IS33. Its description in RNAcentral is "LSU rRNA". It matches the Rfam family "Bacterial large subunit ribosomal RNA", at positions 2344 to 2925 of the family's 2925-position model. Lineage: Bacteria; Pseudomonadati; Pseudomonadota; Gammaproteobacteria; Enterobacterales; Enterobacteriaceae. The record is from RNAcentral.
GGUUAGUGCAAUGGCAUAAGCUAGCUUGACUGCGAGCGUGACGGCGCGAGCAGGUGCGAAAGCAGGUCAUAGUGAUCCGGUGGUUCUGAAUGGAAGGGCCAUCGCUCAACGGAUAAAAGGUACUCCGGGGAUAACAGGCUGAUACCGCCCAAGAGUUCAUAUCGACGGCGGUGUUUGGCACCUCGAUGUCGGCUCAUCACAUCCUGGGGCUGAAGUAGGUCCCAAGGGUAUGGCUGUUCGCCAUUUAAAGUGGUACGCGAGCUGGGUUUAGAACGUCGUGAGACAGUUCGGUCCCUAUCUGCCGUGGGCGCUGGAGAAUUGAGGGGGGCUGCUCCUAGUACGAGAGGACCGGAGUGGACGCAUCACUGGUGUUCGGGUUGUCAUGCCAAUGGCACUGCCCGGUAGCUAAAUGCGGAAGAGAUAAGUGCUGAAAGCAUCUAAGCACGAAACUUGCCCCGAGAUGAGUUCUCCCUGAGACUUUAAGUCUCCUGAAGGAACGUUGAAGACGACGACGUUGAUAGGCCGGGUGUGUAAGCGCAGCGAUGCGUUGAGCUAACCGGUACUAAUGAACCGUGAGGCUUAACCUUACAACGCCGAAGAUGUUUUG